Osmia bicornis bicornis is the source of this 2806-nucleotide long non-coding RNA. RefSeq lists it as uncharacterized. The transcript is spliced from 3 exons. NCBI's taxonomy places the organism in Eukaryota, Metazoa, Arthropoda, Insecta, Hymenoptera, Megachilidae. The record is from RefSeq and is a predicted model, not a curated record.
CAAAGGUGCCGAUAGAGAGUUGUGCUACUGGAUAUGCUGUGGUUCAAGUAUGUGGAAAGUGAUAGCGAUUCUGAGCUGUUAUUUAACGAUAAGUGAAACAAAUGGCCCUGUUCAAUGCCGCCUAUUAUUCAAAUGUAUGUGCAGCAAAUGAGGCGAAUUCAUUGACCCGGCCUUCAAAUCAGCUGUUCUGCCGAACGAGUGGUGGGGACCGACACAGUGACCUAAUGGCAGUUACCUGCUUUCAGCAUACCAGGUUAAUUUAGGGACGAGUGACGAGGUGCCGAGAUAUCCGCUUGGAAUGUAGACCAAGGGAUUAGGUGGAGCCAGCGGCCCAGUCCCUUUGCCUCUGUGCAGUUCAGUUUAUUGGUGCUCGGCAACUUACUAUCUCUGCAUGAAAUGGAAACAGGAAUAAAACCAGUUGAAGGAAACACAAGGAAGCAUUCAAGUUGUGGGCUUUCAUCGUUGCCUUACAAGUUCCUCCACUUUCUACCUUUUCCGUCUGUCUAUCUCUGCUUCACCUUUUACAUCUUCUGGAGGUUAGACUUUUAAGUUGGACACCUCCUAUCCCCUACAUUUUCUAUGCGACCCUCUUUGAGCCUUUCCGAACUGUAUAUAAAGUGGUGCUACUAAAUCGGAAACCGCAGCUUUGUCGAUGCUAUAUUGCUACCACCUUCUCUUUACGUUGCUGGUUUCUUUUCACCCUAUUGAACUGUCCUUCUCACUUGGGCAACCCCUUGAUCAGGAUGGAUCGUUGUUAGAGUUGACAUUGGGGUCGAAUUUAUUGGCUCGGUUGGUUCUUCGAACUGUUCACGGCGAAUCUAGUUUACCAGCGGAAAAUUCAUCUUCAAACUUUGAUAAUACUUUUUCUUAGGUUACGGACGAGGAUUACUCAUGAUUUCUGUGCCGAACCGCGAUUGUACAAUGAAGUGAAGAUUUGUUUCAAGUAUUUGGAAUUUUUUCUUACUUAACGGUGGAAUGAUAAUUUCUUUUUCAUUUAUUGGAGAGUGUAUGCUGAGCAGCAGUGAAAUUGUUAUUAAACGAUUCCUAGUAGCUUGGUUUCAAGCUCUUGGAAAGUUUAUUUUUUCAAUUUACUUACAUGAAUUUCAUAUACAGUGCCGAAUAACAAAUUAAAGAUUACAAAAAGUUCGUAAAUAAAAAAUAUUACAAAUUUUCUGUUUUUCCUUCUCAUAUUUUGGAGCAAUGUGCAGUUUGAUGAACCAUAAUGUAACAAAGCUUUAACAGAAGCUAGGGCUCGUAAUUAAAUAUCUUGAGUAAUAAUUUUCAACGACAGUGUCACUAACAAUGAUGACACGAGUUGAUUAACAAAGAGCCAUUUCAGUAGUUAAGUAAUUGCUGCAUAGCUUUCCUUUUCUACUUAAAAAGAAAAUAUUGCGAGAUAAAUAGUAACCACAAUUAUAAAUCUUAUAUUUAUAAUGAUUAAAAAUUGUACAGUUAUGAUUAUUUCUUAUAUAACAAUUUACUAAGACCAAAGACAAUGGUUAACACUAGAACUACCAAAGGGAUCAAAAUGACUGGUUUCCUCUUUCUUAUGUUAAAUUAUAAAUUUUGUCGAGGUAUUUUUGUUGAAACGUAUGUUGUCUGUUUUCGAGCUAAAGAAUGAAUGUAUAUAUUAAAUUAUGUUUCAUCCCUUACCUAUUUAGUAAUCUACAUUAUUGUCAGCUUGAAAAUAAGUGUGCGUCAAAUAUUGGUAGUUCUAGUAUUAAAGUCCAAGAGUGACAGUAUUAAGGAAACCCUAUCAAAAAUGAAUGUGAAAGUGAUAAAAAAGAAUAAAUUAUUUUUAUUAUGUAAUCUUUUUUCGAAAAGUCAUACUUACUGACGAUUACCGAUGACUACCGAACAGACACUAUACAGGGCCAACCGCAGGCAGGCUGUGGUGGCUCAGUUUGCACUCAACGGUCGAAGGAGGAGGAUAUCAAGUCUCGUUUUUGUUGUUAUAUUUCUCUUAUCUGUAGUGUUUGGAGCAAAUAAGGUUUAUUUUCUUUAGUGUUUUCGGGUUAAUUACUUCUAGAAUAGAAAUUAAUGAUAUUAAAUUGUAAACUUCGUCAUUUUUACUUCUUCUAUUCUCAUUGUAUUUUAUAUAUUGUUUUUUUUUUAAUAAUUAUAUUUAAGUUAUUGGACAUCUGUAGGGUUACUUGUAAUCUAUUAGCAGGAUUAUAUUAUCUUUUCAACGUUAUGUAUUUUAUAUUAUUAUAUUAUUUUCUAAAAUAUCACAUUUCAGAAUUAAAUAGCUGUGCCAUCUAUCAGAUGAUACUUGAAACUAUUAGCAAAUCUUGCUAUUCAUUUACCAUUUACAGUAAACACAUAUUUGCGGAAACACGAGUUUCCGAUGUGAUGGUACAAUCGGAAAUGAGAUCAAUCUAUAUAGAAAAGUAAAUAGAAAAUUGAAGUGAUACUUUUUUAUACAUAACUUCAUUAUUAAAUAAGUGAUGGAGCCAGGAAACAUGAGGCGAUAUCUAACGUCAAGUGUCAAAAGCGAGCUUUUUUAUUUUGCUGAAAGGGCGUGCAAAAAAUUAACCGAAUUAUAGUUCUCUUCCUUAUCAUCAGAGGAGUCUCCGUAUAAAAUACGCAUUCUGGUGGUGAUGGAGAGAACUAUAAGUAAAUGUAUAUCUUGGACUCACUACCAGAAAAAUAAGAAAGUUCAUUUUUGGUAUUUGACAGUACAGGAUUGCCUCGAAAUAAGCAACACGCUCGGGUCUGGCCAGUUGCUUAUUACGGAUCAGGUAUGCUAUUUGGCUCCACUUUGUUCUCGAAACGAGACGAUAGAGAACACGAGAAAUGAGUGAGA